GGGUCUAUAGCUCAAUGGUUAGAGCGUGGGACUCAUAAUCCCUUGGUUGCAGGUUCGAGUCCUGCUGGACCCACCA
Molecule: transfer RNA, 76 nt
Filed under: Bdellovibrio bacteriovorus
Lineage: Bacteria; Pseudomonadati; Bdellovibrionota; Bdellovibrionia; Bdellovibrionales; Pseudobdellovibrionaceae
Description: tRNA-Ile
Rfam family: tRNA
About the family: Transfer RNA (tRNA) molecules are approximately 80 nucleotides in length. Their secondary structure includes four short double-helical elements and three loops (D, anti-codon, and T loops).
Source: RNAcentral